RNAcentral lists this small RNA (173 nucleotides) under Phascolarctos cinereus (koala). RNAcentral's name for it is "TUC338 (ENSPCIG00000019930.2)". The record is from RNAcentral. Lineage: Eukaryota; Metazoa; Chordata; Mammalia; Diprotodontia; Phascolarctidae.
UGCCAAGGCAUUAAAGUCCUGUAUUUAUCUAUAGAGCAGAUGCAGUGUGGGCAGCACGAGGGCGCCCUUACCCACUCUGCCUCACCAAUGUGCUUCUACCCUGACCUGGAGAGACCAGCUCUAGGGGUAAGAGAGUAGCCCAGAAUCCAUGCCUACCUGCCCCUUGGCCAUCU